Molecule: RNA transcript, 660 nt
Organism: Selaginella moellendorffii
Lineage: Eukaryota; Viridiplantae; Streptophyta; Lycopodiopsida; Selaginellales; Selaginellaceae
Gene name: protein transport protein SEC16B homolog
Exons: 4
Source: RefSeq, a predicted model, not a curated record
AGAAGAACGAGAUCUCUUGGAAUGUGAUGAUCACGCUUUGCAUCCGCAGUGGAAAGAUAGCUUCUGCCAAGGAUUUGUUUGAUCGGAUGCCCGUGAAACCACUUGAGCAAAUCAAUUUAGUAGAUCAACAGUGCUUCAACCUCAACCAGUUCCAGCGUCCGCUAUAGAUGGUGCAACACAGGACGCAGUAGAAGGAAUGCUCGAAGAAUGGCAGGAAAACCUGGCUAUAAUGGCAGCUAACCGAACUAAUGGGGACGAGAGAGUGAUUAUGCAUCUUGGUGAUUGUCUCUGGAGACAUCGAGAUGAGAUAUGUGGAGCCCAUAUUUGCUAUCUUGUUGCAAAUGCUAGUUUUGAGCCUUUCUCCCCUUCUGCCAGACUUUGUCUUAUAGGUGCCGCCCAUUGUAAGUAUCCACGCACGUACGCUAGUCCAGAAGCUAUCCAGGUAAGCCGUGUUUGUCCUCAAUAACAAUUGUUAACCUUUUCUUCAUCAGCGAAUGGACGUGUACGAAUUUGCCAGAGUGACUGGCAAAUCCCAGUUUAUUUACUUCCUUUUCAGCCAUACAAGCUUAUUUAUGCGUCGAUGCUUGCUGAAGCUGGAAAGAUAAACGAAGCUUUAAGCUGAUGUGUGCAAAGAAGCGGCUGUACCCUUGGAAGAGCGUC